Piliocolobus tephrosceles (Ugandan red Colobus) is the source of this 5053-nucleotide long non-coding RNA. The record is from Ensembl. NCBI's taxonomy places the organism in Eukaryota, Metazoa, Chordata, Mammalia, Primates, Cercopithecidae.
AAUUUAGGUUUCCACACAAAUUAACAAGGCAAUUCGAAUGUUUGAAGCUUUUGAAAAAGACAAGAAAAUGACCGGUUAUCAAAUCUCUGGAAAUAUGGAUGAAGCAAACAUAAGUACAGUAACAACAAACUGUGAAAAAACAAAAAAACGCAUAGGAGAAGAAAAAAAAAAAAAGGAAAAAAGAAGGGAGAAGUAUAAAAAUGUGAGUGAGGAAAGUGAAGAUGCAAAAACCAUUAGAGCUCAAAGCAGAAGUAAAAAAAUGGAUACCGCAAAAAAUAUAAGUGUAAGUAAAGAAAGACAGAAUGAAGAGGAAAAAAAAAAAAAAAAAAAAAAGAACANNNNNNNNNNNNNNNNNNNNNNNNNNNNNNNNNNNNNNNNNNNNNNNNNNNNNNNNNNNNNNNNNNNNNNNNNNNNNNNNNNNNNNNNNNNNNNNNNNNNAAAAAAAAAAAAAAAAAAAAAAAAAAAAAAAAAAAAAAAAAAAAGAACAUAAGAGACAUAAAGAAAAAAGUGCACACACACACGAAAAAUAUCGCAAAGAGAAAGAGGAACGAAAAGACAAAAAAGAAAAUAAAGAUAAAAAAAAACAUACAGAAAAAAAAGUAUAUAACGAAAGUGACAGUUAUUAUAAAGAAGAAAGUGUUAGUGAUGAAAUUGCAUUUAAAUCAAAUUCAAUUGAUUCUUUAUAUAAAGAAUUCAAUGUAUAUGAUAACACUAAUAUUUUUAAUGAUAAAUUAAAUGAGCAAUUUAAUAAUUUUCAUGUUAAUGAAAAAGAAAAGAAAAAAAAAAAAAAAAAAAAAAGAAUUACAUGACAAGAAAUUAAAAUCUAAUAAAUAUAAUACUACUGAAGAUAAUAUAUACAAUAAGAAUAAAUUAAAUUCGUUACAUUAUUUUAAUAAGAAUAAUAAUUCAUUUAAAAAUAAAAAUAGUGAUCAUAAAAGUAUUGAUAGUAAGCGCGUUGAUAGUAAGCGUAUUGAUAGUAAACAUAUUGAUAAUAAACAUAUUGAUAAUAAAAGUAGUAAAAAUUAUAGUGUGAGUGAUGCUACUGAUAAUAUAAGUAAUGCUAAUAAAAAAAGUGAUAAUAAACAUAGUAAUAAAAAAAAUAACAUUCAUGCAAAUAACAAUUGCUUAAUUUUAUUAGUUCAUAUUUCAGAUAUUAUAAAUAUAUCAUUAGAUUUAAAACAUAUUUAUAUUUGUCUAACUUUAAAAUCAUUUGAUAAUAAAAUAUAUAUUCAAAAAAAAAGUAAACAGAAAUAUGUAGAAAACUUGUAUGUUAAUGUUUCAGAACUAUUUGAGUUUGCUAUUAAACAAAAUAAGCAACUCUAUUUAAUUGUUGAUGUAUUUAGUAGUAUAAAUGAUACAUGUUAUUAUAACUGUAUUAUAAAUAUAAAUGAAAUUAUGUUAAAUGAAACAAAAUAUUUUGUGCCUAAAGCUUACAAGUUAACUUAUGUUACUGAAAAGUAUAUAUCUAAUGUUGAAUUAAAUAAUAAUAUUGAAACUAUAUGUUAUACAAAACCUUUUAAUUUUUCAUCGAAUUCUAAUUUUGAAAGUGAUAGCUCGAAUGAAAAAAUAAAAAAUUUUCAAUUAGUUAGUCCAACUAUAAAUACUAUACCACUUAUUAAUAACACUCCAAAUAAUACAAAUAUAAUUAGUAAUAUAACGAACGAUAUUAAUAGUAAUAUUUAUAAUAAUAAUUUAAAAUUUAAUUGGAUUAAUCCUAAUAUAACCAAACUUCAAAACAUUAACUACCCUCAUAACAGACCCUUAUAUAAACCCAAUUCUAAUCAGUUAUUUUUCACUAACGACCAAACAACAAAUCAUUUUAAAAAUGAAUAUCAUUCUAAUAAUAUCAAUAGUAGCGGUAUCACUUAUGAUACUAAUCCUUAUGCGAACUCUAAUUAUUCAAACCUUAAAAAUGCGAGUACUAUCUCUUCGAACCUUAGCUUAUCGAGAUCUAGGACGUCGAACCAUAAUUUUGCGAACCCUAAUUUAUCAAACCAUAACUUUUCUAUUCCUAAUUUUGCUAACCCUACUAUUGUUAAACCUAAUACUUUACUCUCUAAAUAUUCGUCUAAUAAAUAUACCACUUAUGAAUUUGCAAAUCACAAAUACGAAAACCCCAGAUUUGUAAAUCCCAAUUUAGUGAACCCUAAUUUAGUGAACCCUAAUUUUGCUAACCCUAAUUUUGCUAACCCUAAUUUUGCUAACCCUAACUUUGCUAACCAUAAUUUUGCUAACCCUAACUUUGAUAACCCUAAUUUUACUAAUCCUAAUUUUGUGAACUCUAAUUGUGUGAACCCUAAUUUUGUGAACCCUAAUGUCGACCACUCUAAUUAUGAUAGUUCUAAUUCUAAUGACUCCAAUGGUAGCACCCCGCAUUUUAGCAUCUCGGACAUUAGUAACUAUAACUCAACCCAUGAACAUGUUAAGAACACUUCAUUCGAUGUUGAUCUCAAGAACAAUAAGACCAUGAAUUUGAAUAAAGAUAAGAGUAGCAUGAUUUAUAAUACAAGAGAGACAUGUUAUAUGGACAGCUUAAACAAUUCGGAGACAACACUAAAAGAAUAUAUGAAUAAUUACGUAGAAAACAAAGAAAAAGAAAACGAAUUAAAACAAGCGGGUAAUGUUUGUCUUUUAAGUGAUAGUUCUUAUAUAAUUAUGAGUGUUUUUUUAAAAAAUAAAUGUUUAGAAUAUAAACUGGAGUUAAUAAAACAAAAUAAGUUAAACAUAUAUAAACAACUAUUUAAUGUGUGUAAUAAAGAAAAGGUGUUUUAUGAAAGAAAGAGUAAAGAGAGUGAAAAAAGGAUUGAAGCACUUGAUAAAGCGGUAAUGUUAUUAGAAUUGGAUAAUGAAAAUUAUAUAGAAGCAAAUAAUGAAUUAAAAAAAAUUAUUGAAUCGAAUAAAGAAAUAAUUAAUAUAAUUGAAAAUAUUGUAAAAAAAAAAAAUAAUAAAAUUGAAAAGUUACAAAAAGAAAAUAAAAAAAUACAUGAAGCAGAAGAAGUUAUUGAAAAAAAAAAAAAAGAAAAUGAACAUUUAUCAAAAAAUAUAUAUAAAUUAAAUAUAAAGUUUAAUGAAUAUGUAUCAAAAUUAAAAUUUUCUAACAAAACUACUAAUAACCUAAAUAGUAAAGUUAAUAAUUUGUUAUUGCAAUUACAAAAGGAACAAGCAAAAAAUGAUAAACUGUUAUUAUAUUUAUCACUUUUAAUGAAAUAUAGAAAUAAUGAUGAUAAUCAUAUGGAUAAAGCGAAUUUUUUAAAAAUAAUGAAAUGUAAACAUUUGGACGAUUGGUCAGAUUGGUCAAAUUUGUCAGAUUGGUCAAACUUGUCAGAUUGGAUGAACCAAACAAUGUCUGGACAACAUCAUUAUAGUUUGUUAUUACCUGAACUAAAGAAUAAUUUUAAGUAUAUAACGAACAAGGAAACAUGUUUUAAUAAUAAUAUGCUAAAAAACAGCUAUAUAGAAAAUAAAAAAAUAAAAAAACGAACAAGUGAACAACAUAUGUUAGAAGAUAUAUUUAGUUUAAACAGUGAUAUGGAAGAAGCAAGUGAUUAUAAUUUUGGUAAUUAUACUAACAAUGAUAGUAAUAACAAUGGUAGUAAUAACAAUGGUAGUAAUAACAAUGGUAGUAAUAACAAUGGUAGUAAUAACAAUGGUAGUAAUAACAAUGGUAGUAAUAACAAUAACAGUAGAAAAAAAUCAUUACAAAAAGAAGGUAUUAAAUGUUUAAAAGAUGUAAUAGCUGAAAAUGAAGAUAUGUUACCACUGCAAUCGUUUGAUAGGAGCGAAGAAAAAAGGGAACAUGCUGAUGAAGAAUGCAAAUAUAAUAAAAAGGAACAUGAACGUACAAAUAUAGGGUGUGAAUAUACUAAUGUGGAACACAAAAAUAAUGAUGGAAAGAACGAAUGUAGUGAUAAUGAUUUACUAAUUGACGAUGCAUUAUUAGAUGAGUAUAAAAAAUAUAAGUCACAAAUUUGUUCGAAUAACAUAUUAGAAACAGAAAAUGACAGCGAUAUUUUUAAAAAAAAGAAGAUAAAAAAAAAUUAUAAGAAUCAUAAUAAUAGGGGUAAUAAAAUCGUUGAUAAUGAAAAUGUUUACUUUAACUUGAAUAGUAAUGAUAAAAAAAGCAGCAGUGAUAGUUGUGAUUUCAAUUUGGAGAUGGAUAGUAUAAAUGCAAAACAACAACAUAAGUUAGAUAAAAAUACAAUUUUGUUAAAAAAAAAUAAUAAAUCACUUAAAAGUAAGAACAAUAUUAGCAAAAAAUGUAAUGAAAAUAAGUUUCAUGUUAAGGAUGUAAAAUGUAAAAACAGCGAAAAAGCACGUGGUUUGUUAUUGGAUGAACGCGUAUAUAAGCAUGGGGUCAAAGAAGUGGGAAAGCAAAAUAAGGAAAUAAAUGGGUUAAAAUAUUGUAAAAUAAAAAACAAAGUUGAUUAUGAUAAAUAUAUAAUUAGGUGUAAUAGUAAAAUGAAUAAUGAGGUAGAUAAAACAAAUAAAGAUCAUUUUAAAAUUAAAAAAAUGUAUUAUGAAAAAGAAAAAACGAAUAAUGAUAAUUAUUUAAAUGUUAGUAAGAACAAUUUUAAUAAACAGUUUAACAAAAAUAAAAAUAAAAACAAAAGCAAAAAUUUGCCUUUAUGGACAAGUACAACUGUAGAAAACGAUAAAGAUUUAAGUGGAAAAAAUAAAAAAGAAAAUAAAAACAGAAAAAAAGAAAAAUCCUUUACACUUGAUUAUAAUGUUAAUAAUUUGAAUAAAAAAAGAAUGAAUGAUUGUAUUGCUGAUUGUAAACAAUUUGAAAAAAAGUUUAAUUAUUUUAUUAAAAUGUCUAAAAAUAUAAAAGGAAGUGUAUUAUCAAAUAGUAGUGAUAACAUUGAGGAUAUGGAAAAUUUAAAUAAAAAAUAUUACUUUCCUAAUUUGGAAAAAAUUAUUAACAAAUGCGAUAAUAAAGAAAUUAACAUUUCUUUUUUAAAUAAUUAUAUGAAUACAAAAUUGAAAACUUAUCUUUUGUCAGACGAGGAAAUAAAUAAACAUAAACUACUUAUAAAACAAUUUUACGUUCAAA